Small nucleolar RNA from Sorex araneus (European shrew), 102 nucleotides. Lineage: Eukaryota; Metazoa; Chordata; Mammalia; Eulipotyphla; Soricidae. The record is from Ensembl.
AUCCUUUGUGGGUUUGUAAGCAUGAUGACUGGAUAUUCACACAUUUGGGUGAUAUGCCUCCCUUAAAUCUUGUUAUGCACUUGGCACAUUAUCCAUAUGAUG